GCCCGCGUGGCGAAAUUGGAUAUCGCUUUAGACUUCUAAUCUAAGGGUUGCGGGUUCGACCCCCGUCGCGGGUA
Radiomyces spectabilis is the source of this 74-nucleotide non-coding RNA. NCBI's taxonomy places the organism in Eukaryota, Fungi, Mucoromycota, Mucoromycetes, Mucorales, Radiomycetaceae. The record is from the annotation of a RefSeq genome assembly.